GCCGCGUGUGUGAAGAAGGCUUUCGGGUUGUAAAGCACUUUCAGCGAGGAAGAAGGCCUCUGGGUUAAUACCCCAGAGGAAGGACAUCACUCGCAGAAGAAGCACCGGCUAACUCCGUGCCAGCAGCCGCGGUAAUACGGAGGGUGCGAGCGUUAAUCGGAAUUACUGGGCGUAAAGCGCGCGUAGGUGGCUUGGCACGCCGGUUGUGAAAGCCCCGGGCUCAACCUGGGAACGGCAUCCGGAACGGCCAGGCUAGAGUGCAGGAGAGGAAGGUAGAAUUCCCGGUGUAGCGGUGAAAUGCGUAGAGAUCGGGAGGAAUACCAGUGGCGAAGGCGGCCUUCUGGCCUGACACUGACACUGAGGUGCGAAAGCGUGGGUAGCAAACAGGAUUAGAUACCCUGGUAGUCCACGCCGUAAACGAUGUCGACUAGCCGUUGGGACCUUUAAGGACUUAGUGGCGCAGUUAACGCGAUAAGUCGACCGCCUGGGGAGUACGGCCGCAAGGUUAAAACUCAAAUGAAUUGACGGGGGCCCGCACAAGCGGUGGAGCAUGUGGUUUAAUUCGAUGCAACGCGAAGAACCUUACCUACCCUUGACAUCCAGAGAACUUUCCAGAGAUGGAUUGGUGCCUUCGGGAACUCUGAGACAGGUGCUGCAUGGCUGUCGUCAGCUCGUGUUGUGAAAUGUUGGGUUAAGUCCCGUAACGAGCGCAACCCUUGUC
This 721-nucleotide ribosomal RNA is filed under the name Halomonas sp. S20-4. RNAcentral describes it as "bacterial SSU rRNA". It matches the Rfam family "Bacterial small subunit ribosomal RNA", at positions 396 to 1109 of the family's 1533-position model. Lineage: Bacteria; Pseudomonadati; Pseudomonadota; Gammaproteobacteria; Oceanospirillales; Halomonadaceae. The record is from RNAcentral.